Rosa chinensis is the source of this 1817-nucleotide long non-coding RNA. RefSeq lists it as uncharacterized. NCBI's taxonomy places the organism in Eukaryota, Viridiplantae, Streptophyta, Magnoliopsida, Rosales, Rosaceae. The transcript has 15 exons. The record is from RefSeq and is a predicted model, not a curated record.
GAAUCACUCUAACUCACUCCAUAGCUACCCCGACUCACUCCACGGCCCUAAACCUUAAAUCCACCGCCUCUGAAGGCCCGACUCUGGUGCGAAGCUUUCGAAGCCCUAAGUCGGAGAUUUGUCUUCGAAUCUGGUGUUGAGUUCGGGUUCUUCACAAAUCACUCUUUUGAUUUGGGGUUUUGACUAACUGGAGAUUCUGAUAAAGGCUGACGGAAGAUUUCAGUGGAUUGUUGUUGGACGAGAACCUGGUGGCACAAGCUAUCAAGCUACUGAUAGAAACGAAACAUGUUCUAAUAUCAAAUUUAUCAGCUAUCGGAAAUGGAACGCCUGAAGAAUUAGCAGAACAGUUCUGGUUUUCAUUUGUUUUGUUCUCGGUGAAAACAUUGAGUGAGAAGAGUUCUGAUAAUUCACAAAUUGAGAGCUGCUAAGCUGAAGAUCACUGCUAAGGCUUCGGAAGUUGCGCAUACUAUGUAUGCUGUUCUUAAUUAUAUAUCAGUUAUGGUGGUGAAGAUAGUGGUCAUCAGCAGUAUUUUAUCUGGGAUAUCAGCUGUGAGGAGGUUCAUACCAAAAGCUUGCCCAAAGGCUGAAGUUAAACCGUAUAAACUCCUCACUUUUUGUUCAAACCAAUGUACUUUAUUAUUGAUUAUCCUUUUCUUUUCUGGUUAAUUUGAACAUGACUCACUUGUGUUGUUCUUGAUGUCUCUAUAGCGACCUGGAGGAGGAAGAGCAAGCUAGUCAUGCUGAAAAGGAGAGGGAGUUGCUCAGACAUUUCCAUGAACAAUCUUUGAGGGCAAAGCUGAAAAACGAAAAGAAAGGUAGAGGCUUUUCUCAAGUGGGUUUUUGAGUGGGAUGUUGAAGAAGGCUUAUACGAGAUCCUUCAAUUCCUUGCAGAACAGCCUUGGUCUAAAGAACAAACUAGAUGUUAGAGAACUUGCAAUUCAUUUUGGGUGUGUUCGAAUCAUUCCUGUUGUGCAAAAGGUUUAUACCUGUUUCCUCCAACUGCUGCUACUGUGAGCUCCGCCCUACUCUUGGGUAUAUGCAGUCUCCCUGAUACCAUAUUUAGAAAUGCUGUGGAUAUGGCGCUGGCAGAUUCGGAGUGUAACAAGCAUGAGAAUUCCGAAUUGAGAUUGUCAUGUUUCUGUAACAAGGCUUUAGUCAAUGUUGGUACUGAUUUGGCAAAACUAGUUCCUGGCAGAGUGUCCACUGAGGUAGAUGCACGUCUUGCUUAUGACACGCAUGGAAUUAUAAGGAAGCAUGGCUCUGUGUAUAAGCUUGCGUUUGGACCGAAAGGAUUUGUUGUGGUAUAUAUCAGAUCCUAUUGUUGCAGGGCAUAUUUUUCGAGAAAAUGCAUUUGGUUAUAAUAAGGUUAUUGUGAAGGAAGGGAGACCUUUAAGUUCUGCUUCUUGGUUGCUUCUGUAAGUCAUUGAUGCACUGAAAAAUGUUGCAGUGAGGCAGCGGUGGAUUCUAAGAAUGUUGUAGCUGCCGUAAAUGCAAGUACUUGGAGCACCAAAUGAGAGUAUUUGGCUGCUGCAUAAUUAGCACAACAACUUCCUGUAUUUGGAGCACUGCAACAUCCUAGAACUCUUUCAAUGAGGAAGCCCAUUACUAUUCUUUAGGCCAUGGAGAGUGCCAAUGUUAUGAAGUGAAGCCUAAUUUUGAAGACAAAAGCUAAGAAGAGCAGGAGAUCAGUGAAUACUUGACUUGGAUUUUUUCUGUUCUCCUAUUUUGUAGAUACAAUUAGCAUUAUCAGACCCAUUUAGAUUGUUAUGGGAUUAUAACAACUAACUAUUAUGAUUAAUUUUCUGUUCUUUUGGUCA